CUCUCAUGGAACCUCAUUUUCUGGCUACGUUACCUUCCAUUGAAUAAUGUAAGAAUGAAGAGGCACAAACAAUGAUUCAAUUUAAACAAACGAAUAAACAAAUGAUCUCGAUUUUCGAGAAGGAAAAACGAAUAAAAAAAGGUGAUUUCAAUUUCACACAACCAUAAGCUGUGGAUAACCCAACGCCGGAUGAGGAGAUAGCGGCGACAGAGGCGGCACGGCGAAGAUUCCGUUAGCAUCGGAACCCCAGAAGCCUGGCCAGCUAGACGGCGUUAAGGGAGCAUCCCUAAUACAGGUGACGUCGAAAUCUUCUACCUUUUCCCUCUUAACGACUUCCACCACCGGCUCUUCCUCUUCCCUUUGGCGUUUUCGGUUAUCGGCGCCGGCUUCGAGGGGAAAGUUGAGGAUGGCUUUGGAGCCGCGAAACCUGAACGCGGCUCGGUCGUAGGCUUUGGCGGCUUCCAGAGCCGUUUCGAACGUCCCCAGCCACACCCUGGAGCCACGCUUGUUGGGGUCGCGGAUCUCCGCCGCGAACUUCCCCCACGGUCUCUGUCGAACUCCUCUGUAGUGCCUUUUCUCUUCCGCAGCCUGCUGCACCACCUUUCCCGCAACCUCACCCUCUCCGAACUGGAUCCACUCCGUCUUUUGCGGGAGAGAGAUUUGCAGCGACUUUUUUCGAUUUGAUUGAGGUUUCUUGCGGUCAUGUGUGUUCGGAAACGUGAAAUCCGAGGUUGAUGUUUGAGGGUGUGGAUUCGGAGUCUGGUGAUCGAUUAUUUGGGGUUUGGACUCGAUUUCGAAACGAGAGAACUGGUGUUCCGUGGAAGUAGUUGGGAAGUCGAAAAAGUCAGAGAAAAAUUGGUCCAUUGUUGCAGAUGAUUGAGAAGUUGAAGAUUGGGAACAGAGGAGCUUGAUUGAGAUGAGGUGGGAUUUGGUUCCUCAAAUAGAAAAGAGAAGUUAUUUUUGGUGAGAUCAGAAGAGGGUGUGAUCGGAAGAGGAGAGAGUUCUCCGAGAAGAUGCAGUUUUAUUUGAUUGAGAGCAGAAAGUUGAAGAGGGUUUGGGUUUGCCAUCAGUGAGGUUUCUGAUACUGAUUUAGAAAUGGUUUCUUACGAGGAAGAAGAUGGAGAAGGAGCGUGCUUGAAAUGUUCAAGAAGCUGAAGGAAGAUUUUGAGUGUAUCAGAGACAGUGGAAAAUUAAGAUAUAUAGCCAUUGAAGAUGAUUAAGUUUCAAAGGAGGAGCCUGCAAUGAUUGUUGCACGAACCUUCCACUAACUUACCUUCUCAAUUAUUUUAAUCGUCUCUCUCUAUCUGCAUCCAUUUUCUAAAUUGGGUCGGAUACUUGGAUUUGCUCCAGAACUCGACCCGACAGGCUUUUCUUCACACUAGCACUCCGCUUAUACAUGACCCGAAUACUUGACUCCGUUCCCUAAUUACCCGACUCAGUUUGGUUCAAACCUAAUCCUGUCUCAACCUUGCCGUAGUCAACUGCAUGUUCUUUGACUUUUGAGGAUCAUUAUACCCAUUCUUUGCUUCUGCUGUCACUUGUCAGAGGGCCCUCUUUGUCUGUCCGUUGAAUUCAGUUUAAAAAAAAAUAAUUACUAAAUGAGAUAACUUGCAUUGUUAAUAGAACAUAAUUAUUUCUACUGAUAUGUUUUACUCCUUCGUUUAGUAUAGUUUAUAUCUCUGUCAAAUGUACUCCACGAUCAAGUUAAUAUCCAAACUAUCCAAAC
Molecule: small RNA, 1726 nt
Filed under: Vigna angularis var. angularis
Lineage: Eukaryota; Viridiplantae; Streptophyta; Magnoliopsida; Fabales; Fabaceae
Description: Non-protein coding transcript
Source: RNAcentral